RNAcentral lists this ribosomal RNA (473 nucleotides) under uncultured bacterium. RNAcentral's name for it is "bacterial SSU rRNA". It matches the Rfam family "Bacterial small subunit ribosomal RNA", at positions 355 to 825 of the family's 1533-position model. The record is from RNAcentral.
UGGGGAAUUGUUCACAAUGGGCGCAAGCCUGAUGACGCAACGCCGCGUGGGGGAUGAAGGUCUUCGGAUUGUAAACCCCUGUCGAAUGGGACGAAAGACUCGCGAGUUAAUACUUCGCGGGAGUGACGGUACCGUUAAAGGAAGCCACGGCUAACUCUGUGCCAGCAGCCGCGGUAAUACAGAGGUGGCAAGCGUUGUUCGGAAUUACUGGGCGUAAAGGGCGCGUAGGCGGCCUACUAAGUCAGACGUGAAAUCCCCCGGCUUAACCUGGGAACUGCGUCUGAUACUGGAAGGCUUGAGUAUGGGAGAGGGAUGUAGAAUUCCAGGUGUAGCGGUGAAAUGCGUAGAUAUCUGGAGGAAUACCGGUGGCGAAGGCGGCAUCCUGGACCAUUACUGACGCUGAGGCGCGAAAGCUAGGGGAGCAAACGGGAUUAGAUACCCAUGUAGUCCCUGAGCGGGCUGGCAAGGCGCAU